ACAAAUCGCUGGUUCGUGCCGAGGCGGCCGCACUGAGUACGCAGUGCCGUGAGGCGAGCGGCCUGAGCGCCGACAGCCUGGCGCGGGCAGAGCCGCUGGACAAGGUGCUGCAGCAGUUCUCACAGCUGGUGAACGGGGAUGUGGCUCUGCUGGGCGGGGGCCUCUACAUGCUCUGCACUGAUGGGCAGCAGCUAUUGCGACAGGUCCUGCACCCCGAGGCCUCCAGGAAGAACCUGGUGCUCCCCGACAUGUUCUUCUCCUUCUAUGACCUCCGAAGAGAAUUCCAUACGCAGCAUCCAAGCACUUGCCCUGCCAGGGACCUCACUGUGGCCACCAUGGCACAGGAUUUAGGACUGGAGACAGAUGCCACAGAGGAUGACUUUGGGGUCUGGGAAGUCAAGACAAUGGUAGCUGUUAUCCUCCACCUACUCAAAGAGCCCAGCAGUAAGGUUUCCCUCACUGCCUGUCACCUGCUCUCAGGGAUGACAAAUGCCUGCCUAUUACUCCUCCCCACUGUGACCUUCUCUAAGAGACCACGGGGGAAGCCUCUUUGUCAUUUCUUUUUUUUU
RNAcentral lists this small RNA (569 nucleotides) under Pongo abelii (Sumatran orangutan). Its description in RNAcentral is "retained intron". Lineage: Eukaryota; Metazoa; Chordata; Mammalia; Primates; Hominidae. The record is from RNAcentral.